CGCGGGGUGGAGCAGUCUGGUAGCUCGUCGGGCUCAUAACCCGGAGGUCGCGGGUUCAAAUCCCGCCCCCGCUA
Molecule: transfer RNA, 74 nt
Filed under: Gemmatimonadota bacterium
Lineage: Bacteria; Pseudomonadati; Gemmatimonadota
Also listed under: 1 other name
Description: Gemmatimonadetes bacterium tRNA-Met
Rfam family: tRNA
About the family: Transfer RNA (tRNA) molecules are approximately 80 nucleotides in length. Their secondary structure includes four short double-helical elements and three loops (D, anti-codon, and T loops). Further hydrogen bonds mediate the characteristic L-shaped molecular structure. tRNAs have two regions of fundamental functional importance: the anti-codon, which is responsible for specific mRNA codon recognition, and the 3' end, to which the tRNAs corresponding amino acid is attached (by aminoacyl-tRNA synthetases). tRNAs cope with the degeneracy of the genetic code in two manners: having more than one tRNA (with a specific anti-codon) for a particular amino acid; and 'wobble' base-pairing, i.e. permitting non-standard base-pairing at the 3rd anti-codon position.
Source: RNAcentral